This 421-nucleotide unclassified non-coding RNA is filed under the name fungal sp. RNAcentral's name for it is "partial internal transcribed spacer region". The stretch from base 1 to 46 matches the Rfam family "Eukaryotic small subunit ribosomal RNA", at positions 1786 to 1831 of the family's 1831-position model. Lineage: Eukaryota; Fungi. The record is from RNAcentral. RNAcentral also lists the same sequence under 1 other name.
AAGUCGUAACAAGGUUUCCGUAGGUGAACCUGCGGAAGGAUCAUUAUCAUAACGUAUCCACGUAUAAACCAACUUUUUAAUGAUGUGAAACGUAACUGUUUUUAACACCUCGAGGUAUUCGGAUGAUUGCUGUACUACAUUGUUUGCGUGAUUAAAGCAAAAACGGUAGUAUGGACUUGUCGAAGUAACAUUCGGCUAGCUCUGAAUAUUUGGAGUGUAAAAAUUUAAUCAAUUAUUAACCCAUUGAACCGAAUAAAUUUUAUUCUUAACUGAGUAAGUUAUUCAUUUUAAUUCUAUUGUGUGAACUGAAUUGUUACUUACUUGAAUCAGCCGUAAUUGGUUUUGAUGAGAGAAGUGAUUAUAUUUACGAAACAUAUAAAUUAUUAUUGAACAACUCUUAGCAACGGAUAUCUUGGUUCUC